UCGGCUAGCUGCCUAUUUUUAGGGUGGCAGAUCCCGUGCUAUGCAAGGGGAAGGCUGAUGGUGAGAGGUGUGUGGGGACGCCUGUGCAGAGCUCACCUGCGCUCCAGCGCCGCGGGGGGUGUUUGCUGCUGCCAUUUGCACCGCUCCACGCCUGGGUGUCUGUGCAUAACUGAGCAGAGACUUAGCAUUUUGUGCACUGUUGUCUGCUGAUGGGUUUGGCCAGAUUUGCCUAGAGAUGAAGUGGGACGUGAUGGCAGCACUUGUGUGUCUGUGUCCUCCCCACUGGCUGCUUCAGCUUGAGCCGGGGCAGGGAGGGAGAAAUGCCAGGGUUUGUGUUUGGGGUUGUCUUUUAUUUUAUUUUUUAAGCUUUCUCUGGGUUUGGGGAGAACAUAUGAUCUUGCAAAACAGUUGUUUUUCUUCAAUUUACUAAACAGAGCCCUUUUUCUGUUCUGCUUGAGGGGAAGGCUGUGUGCGAGCACGGCUUGUAUCGGACACCACAGAGUCCAAGCCAGAUGUCAGAGGAUGUGACAAAGGGGGUUUCAAAAACUCCCCCGCUCCACAGCUGUGUAGGACAGCACGUAUCUUCCUACGCCAGCGCGCUGUUCUGCGUAGAUGGACUCGUUCUUCUAUGACCAGGUGUAUGGAAGUGCAUCCACGUGUACAAAUACAGCUUUUGGGGGGGUUGUUUGCUCUUCUCCAGGUGUGUGAUGUGGAAGCUUUGCUUAAAUGUAGCUAAGGGCAAGUCAUUCAUAGAGCAAAGCUAGUCUUUGCGUAAUAUUUUUAAUCUAAUAACAUACUAAUGGCUGGACGCAAUGAUCCUGAGGAUCUCUUCCAACCAAAGUGAUUCUAUGAUUCUAUAAUGAUGUUUUUCCACUGUCUCAGCUCAUGGAUUCAUCAUCCACACUGGUGAUGCUGAGAGAGAGGAAAAGAGCCUGUAGCUGCUCUUUUUAAUAAGAAAGCCUUGCACACACUUGAUGGAGAAAUGGCUCUGCCAGCAGCACACACACGCGCUUUCUUUCCAUGUGCUGAACUGCUUGAGACGCAGCUGAAUUUCUUUAAACAAAAGGCAUUUGUUUAAAAACAUUUUGACGAAAGUGUUGCAAAUGUGUGUGUUUUUUUCCAUAGGAAGCAAACACUUAUGGAACUGUCUUUACCUGAAGUGAGGUUUUCAGUUACAUGGAAUUUAAAUGUACAUGUUUUUCUUUUCCAUUUUUCUUACAGAAAUGUUUGGGCUUAUGUUUUGUCAUAAAAUUAAAAUUUUAUUUUUUGUCCUCUUCCCAGUAGAAAAACCAGAGAAAACGGGUACAAAGGGAAACCCGAAACAAUGCACCUGCUUCCCAAACGUGUUGCUGAGCACUGAAGGCCAUUUUGAAGGCCUUUCCUGGGGAAGGACGCUUUCUCCUGCACCCAGCCCUGAGCAGAAAUUGGCAUUCUAGAAAGGAUUUCCUAAGAAGGAAGGCAGUCACCAUGUCUCCUAAAGUUUCUCUAAAAAUACACAAUCCAAGAUCCGGGCUGAUCAGGGUGUAAAUGUACAGUAAUGUGCUAUUGUGCUGCGGUUUGGAGAGCCGCUCGGUGCGACUCCAGAGCAAAGGCAAGGGGAACUGCAAUUGCUUUGAUUUGCUAAUUGCAUCCCUGGAAAAAUACAAAGAGAAGUGAUCCUUCGUGCUCAGGCUGUGGCAAUUCCUGCAGUAAGAGAGUCCUUGGUUUUCACUUGGUGUGCAGGCCUGUUUAUCAAAGGAAUGACAAAUGUGCGUAAUGCUGGGGUGCAGUGGUUCUAUCUUGGUUGCUGAAGCUGGGAGGGACACAGCUCCCUGCAACUCUGCUCUGGGUGCCGUCAGUGCUCCACGGUCCUACGGCUCGUCACGGAGAUGCUCUGGAUCUGUGCUGGAAUGAACAUGUGAUAGGUACAAGCCUGGAGAGAAAGCUGUGUGCGCCUAAAACCUCUCCUGCCUUGAGCCAGGAGCUCCGGGCACACAUAUUUAGGGCAACUUCCGUAAGCAAUGGGGUGGCCUGGGCACCCCUUGCCAAUGUGCGCAGGUUAGAAGGGAAGCGUGGAGCACUUUGGCAGCCUGCUGCUCCAGUCCUGGCAUAUGGCGAUGCGACGGUCCGGGGUUGCAGACCCCCUCUGAACAAUGCCAGAAAUCAAAAACAACAACGAGGGAAAUGAGAACUUCAGAGUGGCAGCCGCUACUUUUUCAUUUAUUUAUAUUUUUUAAAAUAAAAGGCCAAAAACCAGCCCCCAAACCCCAGCCUUGGUCUGGGCAAAGAAACAGUGCAGGCUUGCCAGCACCAGUGGCUUGCAACAGAGCCCCAGUGUUUGCGGAACGGUGGCCAGGGUGUUAUGUGUUUGACUCUAAAUGAGGUUAAUGGAAGUUACAUGCACUCGAAUCCCCGUGCGCUACUUUGAAAACGCAGGAGCUGCCGGUGGUUAUUUAUUGAUUUCAUUUUCUCCCUCUGGCUCGUGUGGGAGGUUGAAAGUGAGAGAGCAGCCGCCUGCGUGCACAGGGCGAACGAGACGGGGGAAAGCGUGUGUGUGGAUACAGAGAACGUGGGGCUGGCAGUCAGGAGGUUUGCAGUCCCCAGGUUCGGGGCUUUUCCAGGCACCAGUUCAGGUGGUCUGUGGGGGUUGAUUGUAUGUGCCCCUCUGUCCUGGGCAGCUUGUUCCCCUUCAAGCUGCCCAGGGCUGUGAAAGCUGGCAGGGCAGAGGAGCAGAGAACUAAUCUUCACUCCAUAGAGACACUGGUCAAAAACCUGGGGAAAAGUAAACUUGAGUCAACUUAAAAGGCUGAUUUAUUUGUUAAAUUUAUUUUUAUUUUUUACCCCCUCUUUGUAGCUUUUCAGUAUCGCAGCCCACGAAACUUGGCGGUUCCUCAGGAUGGAGGAGGGCGGCUUCUGGUUUACAUGCAGCAAUCGGUACCCAAGCAUGCCUGAAACAUCUGUCAUCAGUGGAAACGAGCAUCGCUCUGGCAAGGCUCUUCUUUCUUUGCAGUAAAGAACAAGCAAAGUUGCUUAUUUGUGGUUAAUGCUUGUUCCAGAUGGCCAGAAAUAAUACAUGACACAGAGCCCCACCGUUGCCCAAACUAUUGAAGCGCUGUGGAACAUGUUUGUAGCACAAAGACAAGCUGGGGGGGAAUUGUUUAACUUACUGGUCUCCAGUUUGGAGCGAUUCUUUCAGCCACAAUAUAAAUGCAGCCUCCCAGCAAGACUAAACUUUCUCAUAGGGGAGAGCAAAAUUUGCAGAGGAGAGCUGUGCUCCUCUAUCCUCCUCCACCGAGAUGGUGGCUUUCACACCAUCAUCUUAGUGGCCACUUUGAGGCCAGCAUUUGCCAUCGAAGCAGAUACAGACCCUCUGCUUGCCAGCGCAGACAAUGUUCUGCCUCUUGUGUUGAUACUGUGGACGGGUAGCUGGUGUGCACUUUGUAUAUCACACCCAUGUGCCAUGUGCGUAUGGGAGUUUUUGCUCUUGGCAAAGCUUGGCCAACUUCUCCACCAGUGCUGCUGCUAAAACUCCUGGGAACUGGGGGGCACUUCCCAUUUCAGUGCCACAAUGUUGGUUUGAUUUACCAGUCCCCCUUGCUCAUUCAAGGUGUUUUUUGGUUCUUGCAGUGCAGACAAAGCCCUAACCUGCCAAAACCUUUCUCUGUGAAUUGUAUAGGGCUGGAGAAAGUCUUCUUUACUGCUUUUCCAUUUGCCUGAUGGAUCUCUUAUGAGGUGAGGGACUUCUUGCUGCGUGGUGAGCCGCCUUUCUGGAUUGGCGAUGUGCUGUGAGUAAUCUCAGCCAGCGUGUGGGCAACAGGAGGUUCUGGAUGAGCCUGGGACAGAAGUGGGUCAGUGGCUUUUCUGGCCCUCAUGCCCAGUGCAGGUUUUCUUUCUCCUGUCCUGGGAAAAGUGACCUAGGGAGAGGUCUGGUGUUUCAAAAGGGGCUGAGAGGAGAAAGAGGCAAAGCUAAACAACAUCAGUGUCUUAUGCCUGCAGAGUGACAGACAUGGAUGAUGACCCCCUGAUAUCCCUGCAUCUAUAAAAGAAAUUCUUGUCCGGACUGUCUGUAAAUGAGGAAACACUUUCCCAGUUGAGCCCUGGCCCUGUACUCCAGUAACUGGUGGUGACAUCCAGCCAUGUGGCCUCUGGCAGCUUCCAGAAUCCCAUUUCCCAUGUCACCUCAUGUGCGGCACGCUUGCAGGCAAAGGGUUACCUGCUAAGAUGCAGCUCUGCCUGAUUAAGAGUAACAGCAUCUUCCCCUGCAGUGAGAUUUGCUUUUUGAGAAUUUAUCACUUGGGAGCAUGACCCCAAAAUAACUGCCUGGGCCAGACUGGGGACCCUGUGCAUAAACCCUGUGCUCCAGCCCAUGUUCCUUUUGUUCCCAGCUGAGUCCUGCCUUGUUCCAUGCUCCAGGUGACUGCUGGCAGCGAAACACAGCCAGGGGACGUGUCAGAUGUGCUUUCAGGUUGGAGCAAAGAUGAGGCAAAGCCUCCAUGUGUAUUAUGGUUUUGACCCCAAACAAUACGCUGACGGCAUAAAUCAGGAGUUGGCUCAGACUCAUUUGAAGCUCAGCCCAGGUUUGCUUGAAACUCAGCCUAAUUUCUCCUGAAAGCAAAGCUGAGUGGGGAGUUCUGGGUCAGAGAGAGGGUGCUCCACAGGUCACGGCAGCCUGGAGAGCUGCAGUUUAUCAGCUCACAGCAGUUAUCAGGUCUCAUAAGCGAGACUGCCUCUCCUUCCAAUUUCUUGUGUGUACAGAUCCACGCAGACAAGCAAAGAUUCCCUUGGCAGGUCAGAGCAAACUGGGGAUCAGCAGCAGUGAGGAUCCUGGCUACCUGUGGAUCUAAACACAGGCACCUAAAUAUCCCUCCUUAUCAGCCCCACCUGGUAAAAAUCUUUAUUUCCCCCUAUUGCUGCUGUUCCAUGUGGGUGCCGGGUGCCCUGACCCGUGCACCAGCCCCUUUAGAUGUUGCGUUCCUCGAGCGACUCUGAUCCUCAGCAACACCAUAGCAGCAGGGAGGCAGACAGCUUUGUGCACUCUCGCUUCCCAGAAACGCAGUAGAAAAAGAUGGAAAACAAAAUAGAGAGGGGCUUACUGCUUUCAUAGUUAACAGCUGGGCCCUAAAAUGAGCUGUAAUUUUGAAAACCAGUCUGUAUUUCUGCUAGGAGAGCAAGCAGCCAAGCGAGGAGGAAACCUGCAAGUAGAAAAAUGGAGCUGAGCUGGUAAGUGUCCCUUUGUCGUGGGCUCAGGCUGCUGGUCCCCGUUGGGCUGGGGGCUUCCAGGUAGGGGUAGGUGGAAAUGCAUGGGUGGGAGGGCAUCCACAGGAACGGGGGAAGCUCAGGUCCUACCACCCACUGCUGUGUGAGUGGUGCUGGUUGGGACUGAGGGCUGCCGGGUGCUUGGGGCAGAGGAACCCAUCAUGUUUUGGCAGCUCUUGCCCCGGCAAAGCCCCUUUGGAUUCCAGGAGAGCCGUUUCCACAGCCUGCUUUCUGCAGUCGUUUUGGUUUUAUUGCCGUGGGGAGAAGGUUCCUGUAAAUGAGUGAAAUGCAGGCAGGGGUGAUAAAAGGUGCAAAUUGAACUGGCCUCAUGCGGUCCCUGGGAAGCAGCAGUGGAUGGAGAGACUUCCCACUCUUUUACAGCGCUCUCCCCUUUGUAGUAAAUUGGGCUUGAGGUGUUACUGCAAGGAAAACAAUAUUUUUCUGAUGGCUCCAUUACGGUUGUGACCAUCCCCUGCUGAGAGCCCCAUGGACUGGUGUUUUCUGUUCAUUACACCUUGCUUUGCAAAGACCUAGUUUCCUGCUGGCAGUCUUGUAUUCUCCAUCUUCGUUUUAUUUCCCUAAGAAAAUAGGAAGCUAAUUAUUUUCUUGCACCCAUGCCUAUCUCCCAAAUGGCACCUUCAUUACCAAUGGGGAGUUGCAAAGGUGGGGUGGGCAACAAGAUGCCUUUGAGCUCUCACCCCUGGUGCCCAAGGGCCCUUGAGAUCUAGCCUUUCCCCUUUGUUCUGGAGGAAGAUUUUUGGAGAGGAGGAGGAGACCCUACCCUGGAGACCCAGGGUCUGAAUCUGUAGGAGCCAUAGCCAUGAUAGGGCACCUCUUGCCUUUGGCUUCCCUGCAGCUCGACAUCCCAGCAGAUGCUCUGCAGCCUUUCCACAAAUGUUUGGGAAGAGGAGCCAAAGUUUAGGUCCUUCUGGCAGCGUUUCCACAACAAAUCCCUGACUCCCAGGGAAGACAGACGUUAUUAACCCAAGCUGAGUCCAUGGGGGGUCCCCAGGCCACUGCCAGGGGCUGCUGCUGGGGGCUCUCCUCCAGCUGAUGGUGUGAACUGGGGACGAGACAAAGACAGGGGCUCUCUCCCAUCCUUGCCAGCUCUGUUUGUCCAGAAAGAGCUGAAAUCCUGGCUGUUCAGAUGAGGAGAUGGAGUAUCAGAAGUUCCCCCUCCCUUCAGGGCUAUCUGCUUUCCAUUUGGCAGGAUUAAGGUCUGACCGUCCAUCCCUGCUUGCCAUUUGUCUGGCCUUCUCCAGUUUGGCAGUGUUCCUUGAUACUUGUUUGUCCUCUUUGAAGGUCCAUGCUCCACCCUGAUGGGGGCUCCUGGUUUUGGAAGCACGAGUGUCCUUACUGAGCCGCGUCCAGGCUGCCAGGCAGACGUUGGACAAUGGGGACGUGACUCAGCCCUUCCAGGACAUGUUUCCCGGUUCCCAGCUGCUGUAGGAAAUAAACAGGUCAACCAGAGGAGCUGGAGGGGCCACCCUUGGCCACUGCCUGUUGGAGCAACCAACCUGAGGAGGAGCAGAUGAUGGAAGAGUGGCUGUACGUGUCCAGAUGCCAGGAAGGAUGAAAGCGAACAUCUCUCCACUGGGAAGCAGCUGAUUUCUCUGCAAGUGCUCCAGGAGACCCAGCCGGUUCUGAAUGUCACUGUGGAUGUCUCAUAGGUCCCCACAAGAACCCUUGUGUUGACUCUUCGGAAGGGUAGCCCCAAGAAAUCAGCCAUAGGAAUGUAUUUACGAAAGAAGUUCCAAGGGAAGGAGGCCUUGAUCCACAACGGAUGCUUCUUGGCACGGAGUGAUGGGAGUGGAAGAAGAUAUUAGGCUGCUGCUGCAAACCUGCCCGGUAUCCAUAGAGGCAGAGCAAGAGGAGAGACCCAGUGACCCUGGUGCGCAGCAGGUGACACGCAGUGUUAACAGGGAGAAGGGAGAAUUGCAUGAGUUUGACUUGGAUCCUGCUGUGGAGCUCCCUGGUCCUGGAGAAUUGUUUUAUCCAGUGGAGCAAUAAGCAUCUGCCCUGGAGCUCUCUGCACACCUGCAGCCUCUGCACAAACAAGAUAACAGCAAAAAUAAGGCUAGCAGAGAUGACCAUCUCUACAGACUCCGAUGGCAUUAAGCAUGACCCAUUAAAA
Molecule: long non-coding RNA, 7369 nt
Organism: Columba livia (rock pigeon)
Lineage: Eukaryota; Metazoa; Chordata; Aves; Columbiformes; Columbidae
Exons: 5
Source: RefSeq, a predicted model, not a curated record